CCUACGGGAGGCAGCAGUAGGGAAUUUUGCGCAAUGGGCGAAAGCCUGACGCAGCAACGCCGCGUGAUCGAGACGCCCUUCGGGGUGUAAAGAUCUGUCAGUGGGGACGAAACUUGACGGUAACCACAGAAGAAGCACCGGCGAACGCCGGGCCAGCAGCCGCGGUAAUAAGGGGGGUGCAAGCGUUGUCGGGAAGCAGUGGGCGUAAAGAGUUCGUAGGCGGCACGUAAAGUCUGGUGUUAAAGGCAGAGGCUCAACUUCUGUACGGCACUGGAUACUUGCGAGCUAGAAUGCGGUAGAGGUAAAGGGAAUUCCUGGUGUAGCAGUGAAAUGCUUAGAUAUCAGGAGGAACAUCGGUGGCGUAAGCGCUUUCCUGGACCGUAAUUGACGCUGAGGAACGAAAGCCAGGGUAGCAAAUGGGAUUAGAUACCCGGGUAGUC
RNAcentral lists this ribosomal RNA (440 nucleotides) under uncultured bacterium. RNAcentral's name for it is "partial 16S ribosomal RNA". It matches the Rfam family "Bacterial small subunit ribosomal RNA", at positions 338 to 795 of the family's 1533-position model. The record is from RNAcentral.